UACGUAGGGUGCGAGCGUUAUUCGGAAUUACUGGGCGUAAAGCGUGCGCAGGCGGCUUUGCAAGACAGAUGUGAAAUCCCCGGGCUCAACCUGGGAACUGCAGUUGUGACUGCAAGGCUAGAGUACGGCAGAGGGGGAUGGAAUUCCGCGUGUAGCAGUGAAAUGCGUAGAUAUGCGGAGGAACACCAAUGGCGAAGGCAAUCCCCUGGGCCUGUACUGACGCUCAUGCACGAAAGCGUGGGGAGCAAACAGG
This 253-nucleotide ribosomal RNA is filed under the name uncultured bacterium. Its description in RNAcentral is "partial 16S ribosomal RNA". It matches the Rfam family "Bacterial small subunit ribosomal RNA", at positions 524 to 776 of the family's 1533-position model. The record is from RNAcentral.